UGAGGAAUAUUGGUCAAUGGGCGCGAGCCUGAACCAGCCAAGUAGCGUGAAGGAUGACUGCCCUACGGGUUGUAAACUUCUUUUAUAAAGGAAUAAAGUGAGGCACGUGUGCCUUUUUGUAUGUACUUUAUGAAUAAGGAUCGGCUAACUCCGUGCCAGCAGCCGCGGUAAUACGGGGGAUCCGAGCGUUAUCCGGAUUUAUUGGGUUUAAAGGGAGCGUAGGUGGAUUGUUAAGUCAGUUGUGAAAGUUUGCGGCUCAACCGUAAAAUUGCCGUUGAAACUGGGAGGCUUGAGUAUGUUUGAGGCAGGCGGAAUGCGUGGUGUAGCGGUGAAAUGCUUAGAUAUCACGAAGAACUCCGAUUGCGAAGGCAGCUUACUAAACUGCCACUGACAUUGAUGCUCGAAAGUGUGGGUAUCAAACAGG
This 424-nucleotide ribosomal RNA is filed under the name uncultured bacterium. RNAcentral describes it as "bacterial SSU rRNA". It matches the Rfam family "Bacterial small subunit ribosomal RNA", at positions 355 to 776 of the family's 1533-position model. The record is from RNAcentral.